This 429-nucleotide ribosomal RNA is filed under the name bacterium. Its description in RNAcentral is "partial 16S ribosomal RNA". It matches the Rfam family "Bacterial small subunit ribosomal RNA", at positions 355 to 776 of the family's 1533-position model. The record is from RNAcentral. RNAcentral also lists the same sequence under 1 other name.
UAGGGAAUCUUCCACAAUGGACGCAAGUCUGAUGGAGCAACGCCGCGUGAGUGAAGAAGGUUUUCGGAUCGUAAAGCUCUGUUGUUGGUGAAGAAGGAUAGAGGCAGUAACUGGUCUUUAUUUGACGGUAAUCAACCAGAAAGUCACGGCUAACUACGUGCCAGCAGCCGCGGUAAUACGUAGGUGGCAAGCGUUGUCCGGAUUUAUUGGGCGUAAAGCGAGCGCAGGCGGAAUGAUAAGUCUGAUGUGAAAGCCCACGGCUCAACCGUGGAACUGCAUCGGAAACUGUCAGUCUUGAGUGCAGAAGAGGAGAGUGGAAUUCCAUGUGUAGCGGUGGAAUGCGUAGAUAUAUGGAAGAACACCAGUGGCGAAGGCGGCUCUCUGGUCUGCAACUGACGCUGAGGCUCGAAAGCAUGGGUAGCGAACAGG